Mus musculus (house mouse) is the source of this 2151-nucleotide long non-coding RNA. RefSeq annotates it as predicted gene, 41021. Lineage: Eukaryota; Metazoa; Chordata; Mammalia; Rodentia; Muridae. The record is from RefSeq and is a predicted model, not a curated record. The transcript has 2 exons.
CUAAACCAAACACCAAUAGAAACCAAACCAAACACAAAAUCAAUCAAACAAAACCUGCUCAACAGUGUAAUGCAUAGGACAUUAGACUUUAAAGACAUCCUCUUUACAGUAUCAUUGUGGGAUCCACUUAGAUCCAACACAACUCAAACACCAGGUCAAUGCAGAUAACAAAAAAAAAUAUUGUAAUUAAGCCACAACUGAUGGAUCAGGGCCACAGAACAGACUCGAAAGCUGAACUGUAACUCCACACCAGUAUAUUGCAUAAUAAGUCUGAAAACCACAAACAUCUGUGCCAAGUUAUAGUUACAUUUUUCCACCAAUCGAUUUAGGAAUAAGGGCUUCCCUUAUGUGGUUGAUCUAUGACCACAUAAGGAAACUGAUACAGAACGUAGGUUUUACAGUCCAACCAAUCAAAUCUAUUUGUUGUUUUGUAGUUAGCAAUAGCCAUUAUGUUCUGGAAUAGAAGAUGAAUAACGAAGACUGUCCAGCUACUGGGGAGUCCCCAGUUCCUCUAGGGUCUGGGACCUUGAACUUAGUUUCUUUCUAUGAUUAAAUAGAGUCUAAAAACAAAAUGGCAGAACUUAGGACAAGAUUCUUUGCUUGUCCCCAACAGCUUAAGCCCACAUCUUGACUUCUCUAGGGACUUUCCUGGGCUCCCUUUUUGUUCCUGUUGUGCUAUUAGAAGUUAGGUCACCCCUGUGCUUAUGUCCCCACCAGGCAUCGUUCUGACCGUACUUUAAGCAGUCCAUUGCUAAUCAAUUAUGUAUAGUCCAGCUUAGUCUUAGAAAGGGGAGUCAAGCAGAUUUCUCCCCAUGGGAACGUGAACUGUGGCUUACAGAGAACAAGCUGGUUAACAUGCAGAGCUGGAAGCUGAAAAGAUAAUCCAGAAAAGGAAGCCAUGAAGUCUACGGAAGAUGAGCUCCUGAGACAGGAGCCCUGGGAAGACAGAGGGAAGGAAUACUAACUUACCAAGCACUCAGCUCCUGAUGGCAUGCCAGCCAGCCAGCUCUUGGAUGAGUACCGUGACCCAAGAGAGCUCUCAUGAAGUCAGGCCUGGUAGCUCAGGCCCAUAAUCCCAGUUAUCUGGAAGCCUGAGGCAGGAGACUUCCAAGUUCAAGGCCAGCUAGGACCUAAUCGUGAGAGCUUAUCUCAGAAUCAAAAUUAAAAUAAGUCAGGGCUACAGCACAGUGGUAGAGUACUUUCUAACCACCUAUGAGAAGCUAGGUUUGAUGCUCAGGACUAGGAGUAGGGAUGAAAGGUGAAAGGGUGAGCCCAAGUGUUACCACUUCCAUCUGCUGUGAUAUUCCAGAGAACUGGGCCUAGGAUUGAUGUGAGCUCUGAAUAGUGAACAACCAACAUUCUUGAAAAUAACAGAAUGGGCUGGCAAGAUGGUUCAGCAGAUGGAGAUCCUUGCAGCCAGGCCCCCUGACAACCUGAGUUUGUUCCCUGGGGCCUAUACAGCAUAAGUAAGGAGAGUGCCAACUCUAUACACUAGCCAUGGUACAACAUGGCUCACCCCUCCCAACACAUAAACAAAUAAAUAAAUGCAAUAAACAUUUGAAAGUACUAGAGGGAUGCGUAUAAGAAUUGUCCAGGAGACUCACUCUAAAGAACUUAGCAUGGCUGCACCUGGGGCUGAGGCAGGAGGAUGGGGAGUUCAAGGUCACCCUGGGCUACCAGAGACCCAGGCACAGGGAAGAUAUUUAGGGAUGUUACUAUGUCGUGGAUGGUCACAAUCGAAGGAGUCCUCAUCUUUCUCCUCUUUUACUGCUAAGGGAAGAUGAUAGAAGAAAAACAAUUUUAAACUUUUUGAAGUAUUUUGGGGAGGAUGUUGAAUAGACAGACUACAUCCUGGGCUCUUUGUCGAUGCUCCUUUGUGCGGAUUUAAACUGAACCACAGGAAAGCUGAGAAGGAUCCUGGCUCAAAGUCUAGACAUGCGUUCCCUGGACCUCUGUGCUUUCUCUUUCUUUGAAGGCCUCUCCCUUCCACCGUGAGGGUGCUUGCUGACCGCGGCUGCUUACAGCGGGCUGCAAACGGUGGGGCUUUUUCUUUUCCUGUUCUCCAUCCUCUUCCUGGCAUUUACCAAGAUUUACAGCUUGCCCACCCUGUUGACUUUCUCUCAGAUGCUAAUAAAAUCGUUCUUAAGCUUC